AGGAUGUGUGUCUGUUUCAACUCUCUCCUAAACAUUUUCAAACCAUUACAGUAAAGCUAUAAAACUCCUCCUGAGGUGACAGGACCGUUCCAAAUGGCACCCUAUUCUGAAUAUAGUGCACUGUCUAGGGAAUAGGAUGGCAUUUGGGAUGUAGCCUAGAGCAGCCUCUGGGGAGAUAAAACAGUGUUUUACGGGGUGUAAUAUAAUAGAGCAGCCUCUGGGGGGAUAAAACAGUGUUUUACAGGGUGUAAUAUAAUAGAGCAGCCUCUGGGGGGAUAAAACAGUGUUUUACAGGGUGUAAUAUAAUAGAGCAGCCUCUGGGGGGAUAAAACAGUGUUUUACGGGGUGUAAUAUAAUAGAGCAGCCUCUGGGGGGAUAAAACAGUGUUUUACAGGGUGUAAUAUAAUAGAGCAGCCUCUGGGGGGAUAAAACAGUGUUUUACGGGGUGUAAUAUAAUAGAGCAGCCUCUGGGGGGAUAAAACAGUGUUUUACGGGGUGUAAUAUAAUAGAGCAGCCUCUGGGGGGAUAAAACAGUGUUUUACGGUGUGUAAUUCACCACGGUGUGUAAUAUAAUAGAGCAGCCUCUGGGUGGAUAAAACAGUGUUUUACGGGGUGUAAUUCACCACGGUGUGUAAUAUAAUAGAGCAGCCUCUGGGGGGAUAAAACAGUGUUUUACGGGGUGUAAUAUAAUAGAGCAGCCUCUGGGUGGAUAAAACAGUGUUUUACGGGGUGUAAUAUAAUAGAGCAGCCUCUGGGGGGAUAAAACAGUGUUUUACAGGGUGUAAUUCACCACGGUGUGUAAUAUAAUAGAGCAGCCUCUGGGUGGAUAAAACAGUGUUUUACGGGGUGUAAUAUAAUAGAGCAGCCUCUGGGGGGAUAAAACAGUGUUUUACAGGGUGUAAUAUAAUAGAGCAGCCUCUGGGUGGAUAAAACAGUGUUUUACGCGGCGUAAUAUAAUAGAGCAGCCUCUGGGUGGGUAAAACAGUGUUUUACAGGGUGUAAUAUAAUAGAGCAGCCUCUGGGGGGAUAAAACAGUGUUUUACGGGGUGUAAUAUAAUAGAGCAGCUCCUCUCCUCCUGUCUAUAUCUCUCUCUCUCCUUCUCUCCCUAUCUCUCAUUCUCUCUCUGUGUGUGUGAUGGUGUGUGUGUGUGUGUGUGCCUGCCCACGGCUUUACAUUAAUCUAAGUGAUCGCCUUAAUAGCUUUAGUGCACUAGAUGAACUGCAUGUAUCUAUCAUAUAGCCCUGUCUUCCCACUACAACACACACACCCAUGUGAUCUGCACUCCAUCUAUCUCCAUUGAAACAACAGUACAGCCUCCCUCUAGCUCUCAUAUUGAGUAUAGCUACCUCUAAAUCUUCCCUUCAGCUAUUUUACAGCCCUCCUCUUCCUCUCCUCCCCCUAGCCCCCUGUGGGUAUUUUUCUUUCUUCUCCUCCGCAUCCCUCCAUCCCAUCACUCGUUCAAAGGAGGAGUAAUUCACAGAUCGAUUCCCUGGUGAUGAAACCAAAAGAGGCGCUGCUUGACUCAGGACCCAGAGGCCCCGUGUCAUUAGUUUCCUCCCUGACAGUCAUAUUUCAGGCAACUGCACCAGCACCACGGCUCCAUAAUGUCCGCAAGGCCCCUAUAAUUCUGCCUGGGCUAAAGAGGCUGAAGAGCCAAGAUGGCUGGCAGUGGCUCUUAAACUAGACAGUGGGAGUUGACUGGGGGAG
This is a long non-coding RNA of Oncorhynchus keta (chum salmon), 1708 nucleotides long. RefSeq lists it as uncharacterized. The record is from RefSeq and is a predicted model, not a curated record. The transcript is spliced from 4 exons. NCBI's taxonomy places the organism in Eukaryota, Metazoa, Chordata, Actinopteri, Salmoniformes, Salmonidae.